AGCGCUGCCGGCGCUAUAUAAAGGGAAGCGAUUAUCAUAGUUUCGCCUACAGUUUUGAAUAGCUGACGCAUAGAAUAUUCAUGGUUUACUGGUACAUACCUAUUUUAAAGUACAGUAUUCCAUAAAUGGUAGAAGAUGUUACGAAGCCAGUACCGCCGGCGAUUGAAAGCGCGGACGAAUGAGUAACAAAGGGUAAGGUUAAAUCGUUAGACUUAGAUUCUAAUGACGGCGCAAGUCGUGGGAUUACAUAGGCGUAUUAGUGAUAAUACGAUUAGUAGGGCAAAUUGGAUUUAGACGCUAAAUAAUAUGUACGAUAGUAGAAUAUCGGCUAUAAAUA
RNAcentral lists this non-coding RNA (337 nucleotides) under unclassified sequences. RNAcentral describes it as "throat-1 RNA". It matches the Rfam family "throat-1 RNA". Rfam says of the family: throat and tongue metagenomes. The record is from Rfam by way of RNAcentral.